Molecule: ribosomal RNA, 377 nt
Filed under: uncultured bacterium
Lineage: Bacteria
Description: bacterial SSU rRNA
Rfam family: Bacterial small subunit ribosomal RNA
Source: RNAcentral
UAAUACGGAGGGUGCAAGCGUUAUCCGGAUUCACUGGGCGUAAAGCGCGUGCAGGUGGCUUGGUAAGUUAGGCGUGAAAUCUCCCGGCUCAACUGGGAGAGGUCGUCUAAUACUACCGGGCUAGAGAGCAGAAGAGGAAGAUGGAAUUCCCGGUGUAGUGGUGAAAUGCGUAGAUAUCGGGAGGAACACCAGUGGCGAAGGCGAUCUUCUGGUCUGUUUCUGACACUCAGACGCGACAGCUAGGGUAGUAAACGGGAUUAGAGACCCCGGUAAUCCUAGCCGUAAACGAUGUGAACUUGGCGUUGGUGGGUUAAACUCCAUCAGUGCCGCAGCAAACGCGAUAAGUUCACCGCCUGGGGACUACGGCCGCAAGGUUA